Molecule: ribosomal RNA, 446 nt
Filed under: uncultured bacterium
Lineage: Bacteria
Description: bacterial SSU rRNA
Rfam family: Bacterial small subunit ribosomal RNA
Source: RNAcentral
AACGAACGCUGGCGGCAGGCUUAACACAUGCAAGUCGAACGCCCCGCAAGGGGAGUGGCAGACGGGUGAGUAACGCGUGGGAACGUACCUUUCAGUUCGGAAUAACUCAGGGAAACUUGUGCUAAUACCGGAUACGCCCGCAAGGGGAAAGAUUUAUCGCUGAAAGAUCGGCCCGCGUUGGAUUAGCUAGUUGGUGGGGUAAAGGCCUACCAAGGCGACGAUCCAUAGCUGGUCUGAGAGGAUGAUCAGCCACACUGGGACUGAGACACGGCCCAGACUCCUACGGGAGGCAGCAGUGGGGAAUAUUGGACAAUGGGCGCAAGCCUGAUCCAGCCAUGCCGCGUGUGUGAUGAAGGCCUUAGGGUUGUAAACUGCUUUUCCCGGGGCGAAUAACCCCCUCGCAGGGGAGUGCGGUACCGGGGAAGUAAGGAUCGGCUAACUCCGUG